Caenorhabditis elegans is the source of this 21-nucleotide non-coding RNA. The record is from Ensembl. Lineage: Eukaryota; Metazoa; Nematoda; Chromadorea; Rhabditida; Rhabditidae.
UUGAAUGUCGCUAUGGGUGAA